GGGGAAUAUUGCACAAUGGGCGCAAGCCUGAUGCAGCAACGCCGCGUGAGGGAUGACGGCCUUCGGGUUGUAAACCUCUUUUGUCAGGGAAGAAGCCGUGAGGUGACGGUACCUGGAGAAAAAGCACCGGCUAACUACGUGCCAGCAGCCGCGGUAAUACGUAGGGUGCAAGCGUUGUCCGGAAUUAUUGGGCGUAAAGAGCUCGUAGGCGGCUUGUCGCGUCUGCUGUGAAAACCCGAGGCUCAACCUCGGGCCUGCAGUGGGUACGGGCAGGCUAGAGUGCGGUAGGGGAGAUUGGAAUUCCUGGUGUAGCGGUGGAAUGCGCAGAUAUCAGGAGGAACACCGAUGGCGAAGGCAGAUCUCUGGGCCGUAACUGACGCUGAGGAGCGAAAGCAUGGGGAGCGAAC
RNAcentral lists this ribosomal RNA (407 nucleotides) under uncultured bacterium. RNAcentral describes it as "bacterial SSU rRNA". It matches the Rfam family "Bacterial small subunit ribosomal RNA", at positions 356 to 773 of the family's 1533-position model. The record is from RNAcentral.